Molecule: ribosomal RNA, 253 nt
Filed under: uncultured bacterium
Lineage: Bacteria
Description: partial 16S ribosomal RNA
Rfam family: Bacterial small subunit ribosomal RNA
Source: RNAcentral
UACGUAGGCAGCAAGCGUUGUUCGGAAUUACUGGGCGUAAAGAGUGCGUAGGCGGUGCUCUAAGUCUGGUGUGAAAUCUCCCGGCUCAACUGGGAGGGUGCGCCGGAGACUGGAGUGCUAGAGUGUGGGAGAGGUAAGCGGAAUUCCUGGUGUAGCGGUGAAAUGCGUAGAUAUCAGGAGGAACACCUGUGGUGUAGACAGCUUACUGGACCACGACUGACGCUGAGGCACGAAAGCGUGGGUAGCAAACAGG